UGUAUCAGGGCUUAUUAAAUUAAGAUUAAGGCUUUAUUUAUCUCGAAUUUAAAAGAGCUAUACACGAAUAUAUAUUAAUGUAGAAUAAUUAUUUGUAAUUUGUGUAUUGUAAUGAAACGUUAUUCGUUUUUAAAUAUAUCUAGUUUUCUAAGAAAUUAAUUAAAUUUAGUAACUGUUUAAUAUUUUUAUUAAUUUUUAUUUAUAUAUUAAUAGUUGUUAAUAUCUAAGGGGAUGAGCUUUUAGAUAAAUACUUAUAAGAUUUUUUUGAUUCGAUAAUUUGUAGGAUUAGAAUUUUCCAUCUAUAAAAGGAUGUUAUAAUUUAUUAUUGAGGAAUAUGAUUUAUAUUUUCUUUAAGUUUUUUAUUAGAAUGAUGAUACUAAUUUUUAGUAUUAUGAAAUAAUGAUUAGAUUAGUAUAAUUGGUUGUAAUAUUAAGUUUGGAGUGAAAGGUUAUUAAAAGGAACUCGGCAAUUUUAAUUUUCACCUGUUUAAUAAAAACAUGGCCUUUUGAUGAUGAUUUAAGGUCUUACCUGCCCAAUGAUUUUUCAAUGGCCGC
RNAcentral lists this ribosomal RNA (554 nucleotides) under Dendarus crenulatus. RNAcentral's name for it is "partial large subunit ribosomal RNA". Lineage: Eukaryota; Metazoa; Arthropoda; Insecta; Coleoptera; Tenebrionidae. The record is from RNAcentral.